GAUGAACGCUGGCGGCGUGCCUAACACAUGCAAGUCGAGCGAUCUUCUUCGGAAGAGAGCGGCGGACGGGUGAGUAACGCGUGGGUAACCUGCCCUGUACACACGGAUAACAUACCGAAAGGUAUGCUAAUACGGGAUAAUAUGCUUCUAUCGCAUGGUAGAAGUGUCAAAGCUCCGGCGGUACAGGAUGGACCCGCGUCUGAUUAGCUAGUUGGUAAGGUAACGGCUUACCAAGGCGACGAUCAGUAGCCGACCCGAGAGGGUGAUCGGCCACAUUGGAACUGAGACACGGUCCAAACUCCUACGGGAGGCAGCAGUGGGGAAUAUUGCACAAUGGGCGAAAGCCUGAUGCAGCAACGCCGCGUGAGCGAUGAAGGCCUUCGGGUCGUAAAGCUCUGUCCUCAAGGAAGAUAAUGACGGUACUUGAGGAGGAAGCCCCGGCUAACUACGUGCCAGCCGCCGCGGUAA
RNAcentral lists this ribosomal RNA (468 nucleotides) under uncultured bacterium. RNAcentral's name for it is "partial 16S ribosomal RNA". It matches the Rfam family "Bacterial small subunit ribosomal RNA", at positions 28 to 523 of the family's 1533-position model. The record is from RNAcentral.